UACGAAGGGGGCUAGCGUUGCUCGGAAUUACUGGGCGUAAAGGGCGCGUAGGCGGAUACUUAAGUUAGAGGUGAAAGCCCAGGGCUCAACCCUGGAACAGCCUUUAAUACUGGGUAUCUUGAGUUCGGGAGAGGUGAGUGGAACUCCGAAGUGUAGAGGUGAAAUUCGUAGAUAUUCGGAAGAACACCAGUGGCGAAGGCGACUCACUGGCCCGAUACUGACGCUGAGGCGCGAAAGCGUGGGGAGCAAACAGG
This 254-nucleotide ribosomal RNA is filed under the name uncultured bacterium. RNAcentral's name for it is "partial 16S ribosomal RNA". It matches the Rfam family "Bacterial small subunit ribosomal RNA", at positions 524 to 776 of the family's 1533-position model. The record is from RNAcentral.